Molecule: ribosomal RNA, 479 nt
Filed under: Staphylococcus sp.
Lineage: Bacteria; Bacillati; Bacillota; Bacilli; Caryophanales; Staphylococcaceae
Description: bacterial SSU rRNA
Rfam family: Bacterial small subunit ribosomal RNA
Source: RNAcentral
GAAAGCCUGACGGAGCAACGCCGCGUGAGUGAUGAAGGUCUUCGGAUCGUAAAACUCUGUUAUUAGGGAAGAACAAAUGUGUAAGUAACUAUGCACGUCUUGACGGUACCUAAUCAGAAAGCCACGGCUAACUACGUGCCAGCAGCCGCGGUAAUACGUAGGUGGCAAGCGUUAUCCGGAAUUAUUGGGCGUAAAGCGCGCGUAGGCGGUUUUUUAAGUCUGAUGUGAAAGCCCACGGCUCAACCGUGGAGGGUCAUUGGAAACUGGAAAACUUGAGUGCAGAAGAGGAAAGUGGAAUUCCAUGUGUAGCGGUGAAAUGCGCAGAGAUAUGGAGGAACACCAGUGGCGAAGGCGACUUUCUGGUCUGUAACUGACGCUGAUGUGCGAAAGCGUGGGGAUCAAACAGGAUUAGAUACCCUGGUAGUCCACGCCGUAAACGAUGAGUGCUAAGUGUUAGGGGGUUUCCGCCCCUUAGUGCU